Molecule: ribosomal RNA, 387 nt
Filed under: Polyarthra sp. (in: rotifers)
Lineage: Eukaryota; Metazoa; Rotifera; Eurotatoria; Ploima; Synchaetidae
Description: Polyarthra sp. partial small subunit ribosomal RNA
Rfam family: Eukaryotic small subunit ribosomal RNA
Source: RNAcentral
AGCUCCAAUAGCGUAUAUUAAAGUUGUUGCAGUUAAAAAGCUCGUAGUUGGAUCUCGGGUACUAGCAUGUGGUACGCUUUACUGCUGUUACUACAUGUCUGGUCCUAAUCAAUCGGUUGGCCGUUGAUGCCCUUCAUUGGGUGUUUUCGGUAGCCGGUACGUUUACUUUGAGAAAAUUAGAGUGCUUAAAGCAGGCUAUACGCCUGAAUAAUGUUGCAUGGAAUAAUAGAAUAGGACCUCGGUUUUAUUUUGUUGGUUUUGUAGAGCAUUGAGGUAAUGAUUAAUAGGGACAGACGGGGGCAUUCGUACUGCGGUGUUAGAGGUGAAAUUCUUGGAUCGCCGCAGGACGAACAACUGCGAAAGCAUUUGCCAAGAAUGUUUUCAUUA